AUUGAACGCUGGCGGCAUGCCUUACACAUGCAAGUCGAACGGUAACAGGUUAAGCUGAUGAGUGGCGCACGGGUGAGUAAUGUAUCGGAACGUGCCCAGUCGUGGGCGAUAAUUGCUCGUAAGAUCAGCUAAUACCGCAUACGACCUGAGGGUGAAAGCGGCGGAUCGCAAGGCCUCGCGCGAUUGGAGCGGCCGAUAUUGGAUUCGGUAGUUGGUGAGGUAAAGGCUCACCAAGCCGACGACCAGUAGCUGGUCUGAGAGGACGCCCAGCCACACUGGGACUGAGACACGGCCCAGACUCCUACGGGAGGCAGCAGUGGGGAAUUUUGGACAAUGGGCGCAAGCCUGAUCCAGCCAUGCCGCGUGCGGGAAGAAGGCCUUCGGGUUGUAAACCGCUUUUGUCAGGGAGGAAAAGGUUCUGGCUAAUACCUGGGACUCAUGACGGUACCUGAAGAAUAAGCACCGGCUAACUACGUG
RNAcentral lists this ribosomal RNA (477 nucleotides) under uncultured bacterium. Its description in RNAcentral is "partial 16S ribosomal RNA". It matches the Rfam family "Bacterial small subunit ribosomal RNA", at positions 30 to 507 of the family's 1533-position model. The record is from RNAcentral.